RNAcentral lists this ribosomal RNA (169 nucleotides) under Dyscia karsholti. RNAcentral describes it as "partial 16S ribosomal RNA". The record is from RNAcentral. Lineage: Eukaryota; Metazoa; Arthropoda; Insecta; Lepidoptera; Geometridae.
UGGUUUCUAUCUUUUAAAAUUUAAAAUAUUUUAGUACGAAAGGAUCAAAUAUUUUAAUUAAAUUAUUAAAAUUUAAUUUGAAUUUUAUUAAAAAUAAUUAAAAAUUUUUAUAUUUUUAUAGAAAAAAAAUUAAUUUUUAUUAUUUAAAUUUUAAAUAAUAGAAAUUAAA